Molecule: ribosomal RNA, 884 nt
Filed under: uncultured Candidatus Poseidoniales archaeon
Lineage: Archaea; Methanobacteriati; Thermoplasmatota; Candidatus Poseidoniia; Candidatus Poseidoniales
Description: SSU rRNA
Rfam family: Archaeal small subunit ribosomal RNA
Source: RNAcentral
UCCGGUUCAUCCUGCCGGAGGCUACCGCUAUUGGAGUCGAUUAAGCCAUGCGAGUCGAGAGUCUUAGGGACUCGGCGUACCGCUCAGUAACACGUGGGUAACCUGCCCUAUGCUGGGGAAUAACCUCGGGAAACUGAGAAUAAUGCCCCAUAGUUCACUACGCCUGGAACGGUGAGUGGAUGAAAGCUCCGGCGGCAUAGGAUGGGCCUGCGGCGUAUCAGGUCGUAGGGGGUGUAACGUACCCUCUAGCCAUCGACGCGUACGGGUGUUGGGAGACAUAGCCCGGAGAUGGAUUCUGAGACACGAAUCCAGACCCUACGGGGUGCAGCAGGCGCGAAAACUUGGCAAUGCGAGAAAUCGUGACCAGGGAACUCCAAGUGGCUGGGGUAAGACCCAGUCUUUUCUUGACUCUUCAAAGGUCUUGGAAUAAGAGGUGGGUAAGGACGGUGCCAGCCGCCGCGGUAAUACCGGCGCCUCAAGUGGUAGUCGAUUUUAUUGGGCCUAAAACGUCCGUAGCCUGUUUGGUACAUUCGUGGGUAAAUCAACCAGCUCAACUGGUUGAAUUCUGCGAGCACGGCCAGACUUGGGACCGGGAGAGGUGUGGGGUACGCUCAGGGUAGGGGUAAAAUCCUGUCAUCCUGAGCGGACCACCUGUUGCGAAGGCGCCACACUAGAACGGAUCCGACGGUCAGGGACGAAGCCUAGGGGCACGAACCGGAUUAGAUACCCGGGUAGUCCUAGGUGUAAACGCUGUGGACUUGGUGUUGGGGAUGAUCCGAUCAUUCUCAGUGCCGAAGCGAAGGUGAUAAGUCCACUGCCUGGGGAGUACGGUCGCAAGGCUGAAACUUAAAGGAAUUGGCGGGGGAGCACCGCAACCUGAGGAU